GCAGGGGGUGGGGUGGGGAGCUCGCCUCCUGCUGCAGCCCAGGCCCGAUGCCGCCAGACCCGGGCUCGUUCUCCCGUCGGCUGGCGCCCCGGAUCCCGGGCUGCCUGUCCUGGGCCGAACGGGGGACGCACCACGCUGGGGUACUGCUGGCAGCCUCAGCUUAGUCCUAUUGGGCUGUGACCGAGUUCCCACGCGGGGUGAUGCCAAUACCAAAUUUAUGGGGGAAGAAGACUUCCAUACCCGUCAGAUGAAUUAUUCAGCAAGAGUCACAGUGAGACCAAGCACACAGGCCCCUGCUUCAGAGCCUGCAACCCAAACUUGUUUCCAUCCCUUUGUCUAAUGACCUUUCAACAUUGAAGUCAGGUCAAUAAAGGGGGUCUUCCUACACAAGGUCUCUAGCACUAUCCCCUGGAUCUCUUCCAUAAAGGAUCCAUGGAUGUCAGGAGGUAUAGAUGGAUCUCAACUGUUUUCAUAGAACGUGCCAUGAGUUCUGAGCAGUGGAAGUUGGCUAGUUCAGUGAGAGACCCAUUUCGUAUUACCAGUUUAUGAGUUAGUGAAUAAUAAGCAUGAUGACAUCAAUCCAUCAGUACCUCACCUGAGCAACUAUAUGAGCUUGAAGAUCAUGUCCUGUCUGUGCUUUGACUUUCUCCACAAUCAGGCAGCAUUUCCUUGUAUUAUUCUAGUGUCAUCACUGAUGUGAGAAGUCUGUGGUAGCACCAGCUGGGAGCCACUGCAUCUGUUAUGAGCUUGCUGGGUUUAUUGGUAUGAAUUUUUCUAUCUGAAGAUUAGCCCAGUACAAGAUAGCCAGAUCUGUUUUCACAACUUAGACAGACACCAGGAUUCUGUUAAUUACACACUCAGGAGAGAAUAUCUUGUUGUCGCCUAUGGAUGUAGGCAGCUGUGAACUGAUAAACAAAACCCAUGGCAGGAAUCUUAGCAGGAAUAUUGCUACCUAAAAAAUAUGACUGUGCUUCAUUAAUGAACUGAGCCCUUUUCUAGAUAAAAAGCUACAGCUUUUGAUGAUGACCAGUGGAGCUAUUCCCUAUAGGUCAAUGCAAUGCCUGGCAUACAUGCCUGAACUUGCCCGACAGCCUUUCUGGACAUAAAGGUCAUUCAUCCUCCAGGCAGAAGCAACCAGUAGCAGUGCUUCAGACGCACACACUGUCAUGAGUGCCCCACUGACAGCAGUGCAACUGUUCUCUUGAAAUGAAAGAGCGUCUCAGAUGGGCUCCUGUGGUCAUGCUGCAAAUGCCAGCGCACAGAGGAAUAAACACCAGAAUCACUUUCAUCCCAAGAGGAAAUCCUUUGAAGAAGGGCUUUUGGGGGAGCCCCUCAAGAAUAGUAUCCUGAGGCCUCCCAGAACAACCCAAAGCACACACAGGCCCACUGGUGCCUGGGUACUGUUUGAUUGAAGGAGGAUUUCAAAUAUGAGUACAAGAAUUUUCUUCUGACUCUAUAAAGAAGAGUAACCAAGCCAUUUUCAAUAUGUAUAUAAAAAGGGGGCCUUAGCCUACUUCUAUUGAAGCCAAUGGCAAAACUCCUAUUGCCUUCAAUGUGAGCAAGACCCAUUCCUGUGUUAAGUGCAGUAAUUUAAAACAUGUAUGUAAUCAGACCAGCAGUUGUGACAAUUAGUCAUAUCUACAUGGAGCCUUGUAGUUUAAGAUUUUUAAGUGAUUUUUUACUACUAUUUCUUUACCAGCCUGUAUCUCAUUUGAUGGUACAUAUCUGAACUCGAACCUAUUUAGACACAGUGAAUUGGACACAUAAUUAAGCAUUCUCUCUAAAUGUGUGAACUUCAUAAGACUGGAUCAAAGUUCUAGCAGUUCCAAGGGCUAAAGUGUUUGCUGCCACACUCAUAACAAAUCACCCAUACAAAAGAGGCAGAAAUGUUAGAUGGUCCAGCUAAAAGGGCAUCAAUGAUUGAAACAAAUGCAGCCACACAGCUGGCUUGUGGAGCUGUGACAAGGCUGGUCACUGUAUUCCUAGCACACCCUCCUGCAUCACACAAAGCAUGUUUAGAUGAUGAUGAUAUCUUUGUUGCAUCCCUAGCAGAAAUGAACAGAGAUAGUGACAGACUGCAGGAUAUGAAGGAGAACGGGAGUUCAAUGUAACUAAAGAUGCAGAUGAAAGUGAGCAGCCUGUUAAACAACCUAAUUUAAAGCCUCUGGGUUACCGUUUUGGCUAUCCUUUGAAAACAAAUUCAAUCUACUUAAUUUAAAAAUGAUAGUAAAUUUCUAAUGCAAACUCUUUCUUUCCAUUUUAAAAACAGCUGAGUAUAUUAGUUCCUAUAAAAAGUGUUAAAGUUUAUGAUUAUAUAGAGAAAAAAAUCACAGGGCUCAUCUGGCAAUUUCUAUUUGUCCAAGCCAGAGUAAAUGUUUAUACAAUAUCUGCCAACAUAACAGAAUAUGCCUGUCACUCACUACAUUAAACAUGAUUGUAUACAGCUUAAUUUACUGAAUUAGAUACGUACACAUUUGAGGUGGAUAGAUUUUUAUAGCAUGAAUAAAGCCGAAUAAAAGCCUUUUGCCUCAUAGUGAGCUUCCAGACUUCUCAAGAAUAUAAAGAAGGAAUCUUGGAAAAAUCCUCAAUAAAAGGAUUUUCAUGAGAGUGAUACACAAGUAUUAAAAAGCCUCUGAAGAAUUAGGAAGAAAUUCCACCAAGACAACAACACUUAGAAGAAGGAAGAAUUAAUGCCAUUACUAAAAGACUUUUAUGCUUCUUUGGAACACUAAUAACUUAAUGCAGAGCUAAAGUUAUUCUAGUACAGACAUGUUUCCCCCCUGAAAAUAACUAAGCAAAAUGUCAUGGAUUUUAGGUAAGUCAAAGAUGAUUAAUUUUUCAGUGACAGUUCUUUGCUGCAAAUUCUCUAUAUUGUUCGCUGGGCUUGUGUGGGGCGUACAUAUAAACUAGAAUACAGAUUGCAUAGUAAGUACUACAUCUGUAGACAUUACGAACAGUCACAUUACUGCUGACACAUGCCUGAGUAAGUACAUCCGUCUGCAUAUAUGUGGGUGUGUAUGUAGCUAUUUUAUACACUUGGGGGUUUCUCAUAGACCUAAACUAGCAGAAUUUGACCAACACUAUUAAACAAUUUGGAGACCAGAGAAUCUCUAUGUCCUCUACCUUACUGGAGUGCUAUAUUCAUGUUACACACUUGGAACUACAGUGUUUUGAAUUAAUGAAAUUCAGAAGCUUAAAGCAUUUAAUUGCAUUUUCCAGCCAUACAAUAUGUUUAUAUAGAAGAGACAUAAAAUACAAAACACGACAGGGCAUUUGAAAAAGAUCCCUUUUAAAACACAGGAAUAAUCUCCACCUAGAAAUAGCUGUGCACCCUUUCAU
Chrysemys picta bellii (western painted turtle) is the source of this 3339-nucleotide long non-coding RNA. RefSeq lists it as uncharacterized. Lineage: Eukaryota; Metazoa; Chordata; Testudines; Emydidae. The record is from RefSeq and is a predicted model, not a curated record.